UAAUACAGAGGUCCCAAGCGUUGUUCGGAUUCACUGGGCGUAAAGGGUGCGUAGGUGGUGGGGUAAGUCGGAUGUGAAAGCUCGGAGCUCAACUCCGAAAUGGCAUUGGAAACUACCCUGCUAGAGGAUUGGAGGGGGGACUGGAAUACUUGGUGUAGCAGUGAAAUGCGUAGAUAUCAAGUGGAACACCAGUGGCGAAGGCGAGUCCCUGGACAAUACCUGACACUGAGGCACGAAAGCUAGGGGAGCAAACAGGAUUAGAUACCCUGGUAGUCCUAGCCGUAAACGGUGCACGUUUGCUGUAAAAGGAAUCGACCCCUUUUGUGGCGUAGCUAACGCGUUAAACGUGCCGCCUGGGAAGUACGGUCGCAAGAUUA
Molecule: ribosomal RNA, 377 nt
Filed under: uncultured bacterium
Lineage: Bacteria
Description: bacterial SSU rRNA
Rfam family: Bacterial small subunit ribosomal RNA
Source: RNAcentral